This 406-nucleotide ribosomal RNA is filed under the name uncultured bacterium. RNAcentral describes it as "partial 16S ribosomal RNA". It matches the Rfam family "Bacterial small subunit ribosomal RNA", at positions 29 to 526 of the family's 1533-position model. The record is from RNAcentral.
AUUGAACGCUGGCGGCAGGCCUAACACAUGCAAGUCGAACGAGUGGCGGACGGGUGAGUAAUGUCUGGGAAACUGCCUGAUGGAGGGGGAUAACUACUGGAAACGGUCGCUAAUACCGCAUACCAUCAGAUGUGCCCAGAUGGGAUUAGCUAGUUGGUGGGGUAACGGCUCACCAAGGCGAAGAUCCCUAGCUGGUCUGAGAGGAGGACCCGCCAAACUGGAACGGAGAAACGGUCCAGAGUCCUACGGGAGGCAGCAGUGGGGAAGAUUGGACAAUGGGCGAAAGGCUGAUGCAGCCAGGCCGCGUGUAUGAAGAGGGCCGUCGGGUUGAAAAGUACUUUCAGCGGGGAGGCGUUACCCGCAGAAGAAGCACCGGCUAACUCCGUGCCAGCAGCCGCGGUAAUAC